GCUAGCGUAGCUUAAGCAAA
RNAcentral lists this transfer RNA (20 nucleotides) under Pristobrycon striolatus. RNAcentral's name for it is "partial tRNA-Phe". The record is from RNAcentral. Lineage: Eukaryota; Metazoa; Chordata; Actinopteri; Characiformes; Serrasalmidae.